UACAGAGGUCUCAAGCGUUGUUCGGAUUCAUUGGGCGUAAAGGGCGCGUAGGCGGCGGGGCAAGUCGGGUGUGAAAUCUCAGGGCUCAACCCUGAAACUGCACUCGAUACUGCUCUGCUUGAGGACUGGAGAGGAGACUGGAAUUCAUGGUGUAGCAGUGAAAUGCGUAGAGAUCAUGAGGAAGACCAGUGGCGAAGGCGGGUCUCUGGACAGUUCCUGACACUGAGACGCGAAAGCGUGGGGAGCAAACAGG
Molecule: ribosomal RNA, 253 nt
Filed under: uncultured bacterium
Lineage: Bacteria
Description: partial 16S ribosomal RNA
Rfam family: Bacterial small subunit ribosomal RNA
Source: RNAcentral